Molecule: ribosomal RNA, 236 nt
Filed under: uncultured bacterium
Lineage: Bacteria
Description: partial 16S ribosomal RNA
Rfam family: Bacterial small subunit ribosomal RNA
Source: RNAcentral
CCGGCACGGUGGAGUAACACGUAUCCAACCUGCCGUCUACUCUUGGACAGCCUUCUGAAGGAAGAUUAAUACAAGAUGGCAUCAUGAGUUCACAUGUUCACAUGAUUAAAGGUAUUCCGGUAGACGAUGGGGAUGCGUUCCAUUAGAUAGUAGGCGGGGUAACGGCCCACCUAGUCUUCGAUGGAUAGGGGUUCUGAGAGGAAGGUCCCCCACAUUGGAACUGAGACACGGUCCAA